AUUGAACGCUGGCGGAAUGCUUUACACAUGCAAGUCGAACGGCAGCACGGACUUCGGUCUGGUGGCGAGUGGCGAACGGGUGAGUAAUGUAUCGGAACGUGCCCAGUCGUGGGGGAUAACGUAGUGAAAAUUACGCUAAUACCGCAUACGGUCUAUGGAUGAAAGCGGGGGAUCGCAAGACCUCGCGCGAUUGGAGCGGCCGAUAUCAGAUUAGGUAGUUAGUGGGGUAAAGGCACACCAAGCCAACGAUCUGUAGCUGGUGUGAGAGGACGACCAGCCAAACUGGAACUGAGACACGGUCCAGACUCCUACGGGAGGCAGCAGUGGGGAAUUUUGGACAAUGGGCGAAAGCCUGAUCCAGCCAUUCCGCGUGCAGGAUGAAGGCCCUCGGGUUGUAAACUGCUUUUGUACAGAACGAAAAGGUUUCUACUAAUACUAGGAGCUCAUGACGGUACUGUAAGAAUAAGCACCGGCUAACUACGUGCCAGCCGCCGCCGCCG
Molecule: ribosomal RNA, 500 nt
Filed under: uncultured bacterium
Lineage: Bacteria
Description: partial 16S ribosomal RNA
Rfam family: Bacterial small subunit ribosomal RNA
Source: RNAcentral